GAUGAACGCUGGCGGCGUGCUUAAGACAUGCAAGUCGAGCGGCAGCAUGACCUUCGGGUUGAUGGCGAGCGGCGGACGGCUGAGUAACGCGUAGGAAUAUACCCCAAUGUGAGGGAUAACUGCCCGAAAGGGUGGCUAAUACCGCAUGUGGUCUUCGGACUAAAGGAUUUAUCCGCUUUGGGAAUAGCCUGCGUUCGAUUAGCUUGUUGGUGAGGUAAUGGCUCACCAAGGCGACGAUCGAUAGCUGGUCUGAGAGGAUGACCAGCCAGACUGGAACUGAGACACGGUCCAGACUCCUACGGGUGGCAG
Molecule: ribosomal RNA, 309 nt
Filed under: uncultured Candidatus Saccharibacteria bacterium
Lineage: Bacteria; Candidatus Saccharimonadota
Description: bacterial SSU rRNA
Rfam family: Bacterial small subunit ribosomal RNA
Source: RNAcentral